RNAcentral lists this long non-coding RNA (6353 nucleotides) under Sus scrofa (pig). RNAcentral's name for it is "lncRNA (ENSSSCG00000052167.1)". Lineage: Eukaryota; Metazoa; Chordata; Mammalia; Artiodactyla; Suidae. The record is from RNAcentral.
CCAUCUGACAGUGCCGAAUGGUACCACUUUUAGCAGCUUAUGUUCCCAGUUACAUUAAACAGACAAACAGAUUGACUAUUUUGCAUAUCUCAUCUGACAACAGCUUGUCUUCAUUUGCCGCACACGGGUGGCAGUGCCGAAAGCACGGUGGAUGACUGCAGCCGAGGUCCUGGUUUUGAAUAACAGCAGAUGCCAACAUUUAACUUCAAGAUCAAUCAAUUCUUUUUCCUGAGUAUGGAUAAAAGGUCUCGGAGAGUGCCUGGAGGGGAAUUUCUGCUGUUUACAGCUGAAAACAUAGAAGCCACAUUCAUUACCAAACUUUCUGCAAGGCGUGAUCACAAAAGCGGGUAGUUUUCAGCAAGGGUGUCGCCGGGAAGAAGCCCGGGGCCCGUGGUGCUGUCCGGGACCAGGCGGCUUGAUGUGAGGACAUUCCAUUUGAUUAAGGCAGUGACCAUCUCAAUUGAUCUGAUUCUGGCACCAGGUCUUAAUAGGCAGUGACAGAAAAGAGUCGUUUUCACACUGGCCACUUUUCUCAGUAGCCUGUGGUCGGUGGGUUAAUUAAAAGCUUUCUCCAAGAGGGAGACCAUCCAAGGGGCCAUUCCUCACUCGGAAUUAAAGAGCUAAUGCCCUGAUGUAAAGUCGCCCAACACGCAGCCCAGGGUUUGGGGCUUCCCACUCUUCUCCCCAGCUGCCAGGGCUCCUUCCGGAUGCAGUUCCGUUUUGAGUCUUUCAAGGCGGUGGUUCCACCCCCACCCCCACCCCCUACUGCUUCCUGCCCGUAUCCGAGGCUGGACCACAGCCCCCACGGGGCAUAUGCCCUGUGGCACUCCCAGGAGCAGGAGGGCAUGCCUGACGGGUGUAUGAGGGAUGUAGGUGGGAGUUGGAACCCCCAGGAGAAGCCCAACCAGCUCCUGUCUGCUCUGAGCCCCAUCUGUUCUGUGACAGGGCAGGGAGCCUUCUUGGUUCAAGUAGUGCUGUGGACUUGGGCCAGUUUCGUCACCCACAGCAUGGGGAAAAUACUGUCAUUUCCACUCUGCAGCAUUGCUGCCAGGCUUACAUAUGAUUGCGUCCCUGUGGUAUCAUUUAAUAUGGACGUACUGAAACUUUGAAUUUACCUUCUGAUCUGCCUGUUUUCUCCCUUGGUUGGAAUUGACUCGUUCUGCAAUUCUUCUUUCGUGCUGUUGUCCUGUGUUCUUACCGCUGCCUGAGAGUUGAAUCUGGGCAUAGAACUGGUGGUCUACCUUACCCAUCACGCUGAAGCCCGAUCAUCACGAUUCUGUUUUGGCAGCCUUAACAAAACAGAUCCGCUUAUCUGUUUUAAAUCCUCCUUUUUUUGAUAUCUUUUUGUGUCAUUUGAAUUCUCAUUUGGUGUUUGCGCCUAGAGAAUUACAGGAUUCUUUUUCUCCCCUGUACCUGCCCCCCUGCGUCAUCAUUUAAAAGCAUCAAGACUCUGCUAAGCAAUGGGAUCGCUGGUUCUAUGAGGCUAGGGACCACGUCUGCCUCUCAGGGCUGCAGGCCAGGGGCAGCCUACCUGCCUGGCCCGAGGAGAUCUUUGUGAGUGUUUGCUGUAAAGCCCAUAGCAGCCCUCCCAACCCAGAGCAGAGUCAAUGCUCGAUAAUGGCCAGUAGGUGUACGUGUGCAUGUGUGUGUAAAAUUACAUGCAUUGUAGUGUAGGUUUGUGUAUGUGUCCAUACACAUGCAUGUAAUAUACACAGUAUGUGAUAGAGGGUGUUAUCGGUGAGCGUGUGUGGAUAUAUACACAUAUACAUCAUACGUAAUAAAAUGCAUAUACUUUGUACAUUGAUGGGCCUCUGCAUGAAUAAAGGUGAAAUACAUGCAUAAGAACAAUGUCAACAAAUACCAAGAGCUGUGACGCAUGGGGCAGCCCCUCCUUGUCCUCCACCAGCGUUGUGGUGGAGCUCCCCGUAGUCAAGUCUCAGCAAGGAGCCACCUUGCCAUGGAGCAACUCCCUGCUCUCUGCUCCCCGCCGCCCCCCGCUGCUUUCCAUUCCUCUCCAUCCAGGUGUCACUCAAAGACAACCCCACAUAAUCAAAGCCUGCAGUAGACCCUGUGGUUGGAGUACAUUUUCCACCCAAGUAUCAUUCAAAAGAGUUUUGAAAUAAUCUCUUAAAAAUAAACAAACCAAAACAAAAAAACUUUAAUGAUUGCUCCCGUCUGCCCUAUCAGAAAAAAGAAAAACAGGGGAAAAGGGGGAUUGGGAUUUUUUUUUUUAGGGACAUGCAGAAAUCCAAGGAUCGCCUUGAACUGGGGCAUUGUAAGAGUUAACUCCUACAAUGAGAUCCUGCUCUAUAGCACUGGGAACUCUAUCUAGUCACUUAAUAUGGAGCAUGCUGGAGGAUAAUGUGAGAAAGAGAAUGUAUAUGUGUAUGUGGGAUUGGGUCACUUUGCUGCACAGUAGAAAAGUGGGACAGACCACUAUAAACCAACUAUAGUGGAAAAAAUAAAGAUGAAAAAAAAAAAAAAAAAAACAGUCCAUAGGCAGUAAAUGUUGGCUCUUGUGAAAUUUGCAGUCCUCCCUGGCAGAGUAACCACCAUUAGCCAUUGUGCCUAAUAUAAGGAUAACCAGCGUGGAUUCAUAGCCAAGCCUUCCGUGGCCGCAAGUGUUUGUGUCUUUCAUGCCGUGCACUGUCCUGGGUGCUCAGAGAGGAGGGGUGGGGUGGAGGUGGGGGGCACACAUCAGGCGGGCUCCCUGCCUUCAGCAAGGAGUGCUGCUGGACACUCAGAAGUCCGAAGAGGUGGACAAUUCAAGCCAGGUGGCUAAGGGGACAGAGAACCCUGGUACUCAGAGAUUAGAAUUCUGGGGGUCAAAGAGAUGGCUCUGGGCCCAAGUGGUGUAGCAUAAAACAAAGGGAGAAAGCCCUUUAAAAAGCCAUGCUCAGCAUCAGCCGAGGAGAGAGGAGAUGAGGAAGCCGUAGCUUGGACCACGUGCUGUGAAGGCUCUGGCAUCCACUUAGAGCCGGGAGCGAGAAGCGUUCCCUGCCUAGGCAGGAUCGGGGUCAAGGCACCUCUGGGAUGCCACGUCUCUGUGCGGGCACCUGGUCUGCUGGGGUGCCCUUCUUUCGAAGACUCAAAUGCUUAGGACAUCGCAGCUUGCUGGGGGCUGGGAGCAGACUCACCAGAGAGAACUCUAAAAAAACAGUGAAAUGCCCUAUUUUCCUCCCUCCCUGACACCCCCACCCCCGCGCCCCCCUCAACUUCCCUUAACUCUUUGUGCCUCCACCUGGCAUUUAGGAUCUUUUGUUGUCUUAAUAGAGGCUGAAACCUGCUUCUUUGGGCCUGGAGUUGGCUGUUUUAAUUCAACAGUGGAAGUUUUGGGGUUUUUUUUUUCCCAUUUUCUUUGUUUGUUUUUCUUUUCCAUUUUCUUUUUCUAAGCCAGGAGGACAAUGCAUUUGCAGAGCAGAAGCUGUGUGCUAGGCUCUCCCCGGAUGCCCGAACAAAACCCUCAUUAAUGGGAAGGUGGAUUUCCUGGUCACAGCUUUUAGCCAAAGGGCAAAGGUCGCCCAUUAACCAGCUUCCAGUCUAAACAGGACUGUGUGUAAAAUGACAGGAGAGGAGGGAGACGAGGGAAGAAAAGUCAAAUAUUUGCUCUUAAUUCUCAAGUUAGUAUAUCCCAUUGUGAGUGGUCCACGCACAUCUGGAGGCCCUGGUCCAGGGUCCCCAUCCGUGUGCCCUGCAGCCAGCCCAGGAUGCCCUGGAGAAGCAGCCACCCCAGAGCUGGUACUGGCGGGCAGGGGGCUCAGAGGCCUAGCCUGCCAUGCUCUGCGCCCCACCCCCAGCUUUCAGACCCUGGCCCUGGGGGCCUCUCCGACAGUUCCAGGCAGAAUCAGGAACUCAGAUGUUGACACGGCUUCUAUUGGUUCCCCUGCCUGGAACCCCCUCAAGCCAGCAGGGCCCUGCCGGGUGUGCACCGGCUUUGGUCAGAUUUCCUCUGCCCCCACGCCGGGCGUCUCCACACACCUGCAGCACACCGUGGCCUUGGAGUUGUUCUUUCCCACGAUGAGAAUACUCCUCCCUGGGUCCUGGCCUGCUGGCAUCCUCAGGGUGUCAGCGCCCCACUUGUCUGCCCGCUGCCGUGGGAGCUGCUCACUGGAACUUCGCGAACCCCAGCCAGGAGUGAGCCGCCUCUGACCCUCCCCAGCCAGAGCCAGCAUUCGCAGAAAACACUGGGGUUCUGUGUUCCUCAAAUUGUCCAAGGGGGUCUGCAGAGUCUGGGUCCCGGGAUGGGACAAAGUAACCUCCAGGCACAGGCUACCUCCGUGAAACUUAGGACAGGGAGGAGCAGAGCAAAAUGCUCUCUUCCGCCAGACAAGCCAGUCCCCAGAACAGAGGACAGACAGAUGCAGGGGACAGGACUCACCAUGGCUGCUUGUUUCUCCAACUCUACCAACCCAACAAGCCGCCCUCCUUUCUCUGAGGACACAAGGCUCCGAGAGCAGAGAGGCUGGAAUGUUGUGUGCACACAGGGGUCCCCAGCCUCAGCCUAGGCUGGCUGCAUCCCACAGCCACCUUGCAGGGGACAUCUGGCCCCGGGUUUCCUGCUCUGCUGUCCUUUUGUCUUGAACGUUCUUAUUCAUCGUGAACGUGGGGCCCUGCGUUUUUAUUAAGCCCUAGACACUGCACAUUACAUCACAGAUCAUGACUUCAGUGCAAGUCGAAUCACCUGCAAAGGCUUUAAAGCCCAUCCAGGAGGCUGGUUUGGACUUAACCAGGCAGGCACUCUAGCAGGUGGCCCCAGUGUCUAUCUAUAGCUCUAUGCAAAAAAUCUGUGCCUGGAAGGAACAGGGAUGUGCAUUUGCCCCAAAACUUUUUUUUUUUUUUUUUUUUUGGCCAGACCUGCAGCAUAUGGAAGGUCCCAGUGAGAGGUCAAAUCGGAGCUGAAGCUGCUGGUCUACACCACAGCUGCAGCAACAUGGGAUCUGAGUGCAUCUCCAACCUGCACCGCAGCUCAGCAAUGCUGGAUCCUUAACCACUGAAUGAGGCCAGGGAUCAAACUUGCUUCCUCAUUACUACAUGGGGUCCUUCACCCACUGAGCCACCAUGGGAACUCUGCCCCAACACUUUCAGGAAAACGAGCCCAAGACCCCCAGCCCGGUAUUUCUAUGGAACUCCAUUCGCACCCCUGUAACAGCCCUGGAGCCAUGCCAUUGUGAUAAUAGUUGGAAUGGUGAUGAUGGAAUUUGUGGGAGACUCACUAUCAGCCUGGUGCUUCUCCACGUACUUGGAUGGACCGCCGCAUUUGCAUGAGACUAUGAGAUGGGUCACGUUAUUUCCCCAUUGACAGACAAGAAUAGAAGCUGAAAGUCUAAAUAGUGAAAUCAUUCGCACAGCUAUCCAGAGCGGUUGACUGGAGGCUCCCUCUUCCCCGUUUACAAGUCUUUCUUAUGGAAUUGUGAUCCCCUCCCAGGCCUGGGUGGUGCCCUGUUCAUGUCUCUGUUCCCCCCAUCGCUCACAGCACACAGUAGGGCUUCCGCAAAUGCUUGUGCAAUCAUUUCUUCCACCCGUGAUUCACCACAGUGAUGCUAUUUUCUCUGGGUGGAGAACUCUGUGCUGUGUCUACAGGGCCGUCAAGCACAAUCGCUAAGGAAAAAACCCUCCAGUGUAUUUUUCAAGCUGUCUUGUCUGCAUUCAUAAUAUUAUGAUGGCUUGCAGCUAAACUACGGAGGCAGGACCUCAUGACGCGAUCUUUAGCUUGACCCAGACUGCACCCCCACACAUGUUAGGCUGGAAACGUGACUGGUAGGGAGCAAGAAGUGGCCACUGAAAGCAGAGCCCUCUGCCAGAAACAGAGGGCAUGGCCAGACAGCAGCAAAGACAGCGUGUCCCAUGUACCACACGGCCAUCCACGGGGGACUGGAGAAAGUCUGUUUGGCGCAGGGCUUCUCAUUUUUCCAAAAAGCAAAGCUGUCAGCCCACACAAAGGAGUGUGCAUUCAGCAGGGCCCGGGAAGCAGAGACAUUGCAGACUCAAAAACGCUGGAGGGCUGCAGCUCCCUGGUGGCACAGCAGGUUAAGGAUCCAGCGUUAUGGUCACUGUAGCUCAGGUCACUGCUGUGGCGUGAGUUCAAUCCCUAGCCCCGGAGCUUUUGUACGUAUGGGUUCAGAAAACACACAAAAACACUGGAGGAUAAAAUGAACCAUCUCAAUAGCUUUGAACUUCAGGGCGAGACAUUAGAAAGGACUGGAGAGAAAAUGGACUCAUUUCCCAUUCAUGGUAGAGUUUUCUGGGCAGGGCCAUUCUUGGGUCCUGAGGUUUCUGAGUUCACCUCUUGACCCUGGGGCAGAAACAUCGCUAGAUCAAAGCCAUAAUGAGUCCAAAGACUUACAGAGUAGAGG